Molecule: ribosomal RNA, 600 nt
Filed under: uncultured archaeon
Lineage: Archaea
Description: bacterial SSU rRNA
Rfam family: Archaeal small subunit ribosomal RNA
Source: RNAcentral
GCGCACUGCUCAGUAACACGUGGACAACCUGCCCUGAGGACUGGAAUAAUCCCGGGAAACUGGGGGUAAUUCCAGAUAUGUCAGAACUCCUGGAAUGGGUUCUGGCAGAAAGGCUCCGGCGCCUCAGGAUGGGUCUGCGGCCUAUCAGGGUAGUAGUGGGUGUAACGUACCUACUAGCCUACGACGGGUACGGGUUGUGAGAGCAAGAGCCCGGAGAUGGAUUCUGAGAUAUGAAUCCAGGCCCUACGGGGUGCAGCAGGCGCGAAAACUUUACAAUGCGGGCAACCGCGAUAAGGGGACCUCGAGUGCUGGGUUACAAACCUGGCUGUUGGGCUGCCUAAAAAGCAGUCUAUAGCAAGGGCCGGGCAAGACCGGUGCCAGCCGCCGCGGUAACACCGGCGGCUCGAGUGGUAACCGCUAUUAUUGGGUCUAAAGGGUCUGUAGCCGGCCGACUAAGUCUCUUGGGAAAUCUGGCAUCUCAAGUGUCAGGCUGCCAGGGGAUACUGGUCGGCUUGGGACCGGGAGAGGUGAGAGGUACCUCGGGGGUAGGGGUGAAAUCUUGUAAUCCUCGAGGGACCACCAGUGGCGAAGGCGUCUCAC